CCUACGGGAGGCAGCAGUGGGGAAUUUUGGACAAUGGGCGCAAGCCUGAUCCAGCAAUGCCGCGUGAGUGAAGAAGGCCUUCGGGUUGUAAAGCUCUUUUGUCAGGGAAGAAACGGUGGAGGUUAAUACCUUCUGCUAAUGACGGUACCUGAAGAAUAAGCACCGGCUAACUACGUGCCAGCAGCCGCGGUAAUACGUAGGGUGCAAGCGUUAAUCGGAAUUACUGGGCGUAAAGCGUGCGCAGGCGGUUGUGCAAGACAGAUGUGAAAUCCCCGGGCUCAACCUGGGAAUUGCAUUUGUGACUGUACGGCUAGAGUGUGUCAGAGGGGGGUAGAAUUCCACGUGUAGCAGUGAAAUGCGUAGAGAUGUGGAGGAAUACCGAUGGCGAAGGCAGCCCCCUGGGAUAACACUGACGCUCAUGCACGAAAGCGUGGGGAGCAAACAGGAUUAGAUACCCUGGUAGUCCACGCCCUAAACGAUGUCUACUGUUGUCGGUCUUNUUNUACUGUACGCAGCGUACGCGNGAGUAGACCGCCGNGGGUAAGGUACGGUCGCGAGUAAGUUAAACGUUAAAGGUAAGUUAGACGGCGUGAGACGNGCCGACGGACGACGACGAGGGAGGAGG
Molecule: ribosomal RNA, 625 nt
Filed under: uncultured bacterium
Lineage: Bacteria
Description: bacterial SSU rRNA
Rfam family: Bacterial small subunit ribosomal RNA (bases 1-536)
Source: RNAcentral